UGAAGGAACAAAAUGGAUAAGAACAAAAACUUGGUACAUAUUUGGAAAGAAUGGAACAUGCAUUAAUUAAAUAACAAAUCACUCAUUAGGCUUGUCUCUUAAAUACAGAAGAGAUUUGCCUUAGGCUAAUCCUCUUUUUUAAUUUAUUUUUUUUUCCCUCCGCUCCUUCUAAACCACUAAUUAAUCAAAAUCAUUAACUCUUAACCCCCAAAAAAAAAAUAAGAACAGAAAAUUAAAUUUACAACUAUUUACUACCAAAUAUUAGCCAUUUCCAAUUCCCACGCCACAGUUAUUUUUUACCAUUCAGUUAUUUCCAUAUCAGCAAGAGUAAAAUUCAACCAAUUCCUCUAAUGACUCUGGCUGAGGAUCUGCAUUUUCAAGCAUCCAUAACAAAUGUUCAAACAGCACGACUUCACAUCCAACUGUAAUAUAUUCUUCAGUCUCACCGGACCUUUCCACGAGUUCGCGAAAUAGCGGGUGAUCGAUUACGUCGGAGCUCACCAGGUACCGGCGGCGAGAUUUUCCGACGUAUACCGGGAACAAAUUCUUACCGGAGCAGCGAUUUUCAUCGGAAAAUGAAUCGUCUUCUUCGGAGGAAGAAUGAUGAUGAGUUGCUGCUACGCCAGCGGUGCUAUUUACUCGGCCAAUUUUGAAGGAUUGCAUUUUCUUCAACACGGAUUUGAGUUUUGUGAGUUUUCCUCCUUUCGCCAUUGCUGUUUGUGUAAAGAGAAA
RNAcentral lists this unclassified non-coding RNA (732 nucleotides) under Hevea brasiliensis (rubber tree). The record is from RNAcentral. Lineage: Eukaryota; Viridiplantae; Streptophyta; Magnoliopsida; Malpighiales; Euphorbiaceae.